Small nuclear RNA from Delphinapterus leucas (beluga whale), 105 nucleotides. The record is from Ensembl. NCBI's taxonomy places the organism in Eukaryota, Metazoa, Chordata, Mammalia, Artiodactyla, Monodontidae.
GUGUUCAUCUCAGCACACACGUGCCAGAGUUAGAAAGACACAGAGGAGACGAGCAUGGCCCCGGAGCAAGGAUGACCCCACACUGGUGACGCAUUCCAUAUUUUU